CAUGCCCGCGCUCCCCGCUCGACGAGCCUCCGCGCGGCGGCCUUCGAUCCGAACGACGAUGCUACGAGAUGUGGAGACAAGGGUCAUUAUGCUUAUGACUGUCACCGCAUAUAGUCGGAGGAGGAGGAGCAGGUUUCUUCGUUUGAGUCAGUCGCCUUGAUUCAGAAUGUCACAAGCCUUAAGGUUUCAUGCUGAGGCGCCUUGCAAAAUCCGACAAUUAAGAUCCUUCUAGACCUUGAGGUGAUCAGCAUAAGAGGCCAGAUCCCCUCGAGCCAUCUACACCUAGCUUCACCAUAUUCUUUAAAGGGCAGAAAAUUUGAGAUGGUGAUCGCCGUAACAGUAAAUUUGGCUUUCAAUUGGGGCCCCCCCCCCUCCGGUUUAGAAAGAGGAACACCAGAUUGACCACAUUCCCACCUAGAAAAAUCUUCUUGCGUCAAUCAAGCCUCACCCUGGCUCAUUUGGCUGUCAGUUUGAUCGUCGUUAGAUUGAAGAGAACACCUAGAUGCAGCGAUCGGCUAUAGAUACUUCUAGAUCGUCUAGAUCUGCUAGACCUUGGGCCAAAGAGGGUCGACCUGCAAACUUGCAAGGUCACGGUCUAGAUCUCAUUCAAGGUCCAGAGGAAGAAGGUAUUCUCGGUCACGCAGCCGAAGCCGUGGUAGGCGAUCCAGGUCAGCUUCUGUUCGCAGAUCGAGGUCGGUGUCACCUCGUAGAUCUAGAUCAGCCUCACCCCGUAGAUCCCGGUCACGUUCUUUAA
Molecule: long non-coding RNA, 754 nt
Filed under: Chelonoidis abingdonii (Abingdon island giant tortoise)
Lineage: Eukaryota; Metazoa; Chordata; Testudines; Testudinidae
Description: lncRNA (ENSCABG00000003067.1)
Source: RNAcentral